UACGGGGGGGGCAAGCGUUGUUCGGAAUUACUGGGCGUAAAGGGCUCGUAGGCGGCCAACUAAGUCAGACGUGAAAUCCCUCGGCUUAACCGGGGAACUGCGUCUGAUACUGGAUGGCUAGAGAUUGGGAGAGGGAUGCGGAAUUCCAGGUGUAGCGGUGAAAUGCGUAGAUAUCUGGAGGAAUACCGGUGGCGAAGGCGGCAUCCUGGACCGACAUUGACGCUGAUGAGCGAAAGCUAGGGGAGCAAACGGG
RNAcentral lists this ribosomal RNA (253 nucleotides) under uncultured bacterium. RNAcentral's name for it is "partial 16S ribosomal RNA". It matches the Rfam family "Bacterial small subunit ribosomal RNA", at positions 524 to 776 of the family's 1533-position model. The record is from RNAcentral.